This 504-nucleotide long non-coding RNA is filed under the name Homo sapiens (human). RNAcentral describes it as "non-protein coding lnc-OR2A4-3:1". The record is from RNAcentral. Lineage: Eukaryota; Metazoa; Chordata; Mammalia; Primates; Hominidae.
AGUCAUCUUCAUACUUUGGCUGCAGUUGCACAAACAAACCAGAACCAGCUCCAUCUUUUGUCGAGAGCACUGCUCUCAGGCUUAUAACAGCAUUAGGUAGCUCAGAGGUACAACCGCAGUUUACACGCUUCCUUAGUGAUCCCAAAACAGUGCUCUCAGCAGAAUCUGAAGAACUGAACCGAGCCUUGAUAUUGACCUUGGCUAGAGCAACUCAUGUAACAAAAAUAACAUCUGAAAAUUCUUGAACUUAAAAUCAUGCUUAAAUGGUUGAUUCUCCAAUUUCUUUUUUUAAAAAUAAGUUAAUUGCUUUUGCAGGUUGACACUCUCACCUGACAGAUGAUGUAAUUCUUCAAUUUUUAUAAUCUUAAAAUUUUUAAAUUUUAUAUUUGUAAAUACAGUACACAUUUUAUUUCUUGGAUUUUGAGAGACAUUGUUAAUUUUGGGGGAAUUGGCAUUGCGAAAGACUUGAAAACUAAUGAGUAAAGUCUGCUGAAUGAAUAAACC